This 460-nucleotide ribosomal RNA is filed under the name uncultured bacterium. RNAcentral's name for it is "partial 16S ribosomal RNA". It matches the Rfam family "Bacterial small subunit ribosomal RNA", at positions 338 to 795 of the family's 1533-position model. The record is from RNAcentral.
CCUACGGGAGGCAGCAGUGAGGAAUAUUGGUCAAUGGACGAGAGUCUGAACCAGCCAAGUAGCGUGAAGGAUGACUGCCCUAUGGGUUGUAAACUUCUUUUAUAUGGGAAUAAAACGUUCCACGUGUGGGAUUUUGUAUGUACCAUAUGAAUAAGGAUCGGCUAACUCCGUGCCAGCAGCCGCGGUAAUACGGAGGAUCCGAGCGUUAUCCGGAUUUAUUGGGUUUAAAGGGAGCGUAGGUGGAUUGUUAAGUCAGUUGUGAAAGUUUGCGGCUCAACCGUAAAAUUGCAGUUGAGACUGGCAGUCUUGAGUACAGUAGAGGUGGGCGGAAUUCGUGGUGUAGCGGUGAAAUGCUUAGAUAUCACGAAGAACUCCGAUUGCGAAGGCAGUUCACUGGACUGCAACUGACACUGAGGCUCGAAAGUGUGGGUAUCAAACAGGAUUAGAUACCCCAGUAGUC